GGGGCCGUGGCCUAGCAAGCCCUAUCAGGGCCUAGAGAGGUAUGGCGGCCGGCUCCAGACCGGCAGGUCCCGGGUUCGAGUCCCGGCGGCCCCACCA
This 97-nucleotide transfer RNA is filed under the name Thermofilum sp. RNAcentral's name for it is "tRNA-Trp". It matches the Rfam family "tRNA". From Rfam's summary of the family: Transfer RNA (tRNA) molecules are approximately 80 nucleotides in length. Their secondary structure includes four short double-helical elements and three loops (D, anti-codon, and T loops). Further hydrogen bonds mediate the characteristic L-shaped molecular structure. tRNAs have two regions of fundamental functional importance: the anti-codon, which is responsible for specific mRNA codon recognition, and the 3' end, to which the tRNAs corresponding amino acid is attached (by aminoacyl-tRNA synthetases). tRNAs cope with the degeneracy of the genetic code in two manners: having more than one tRNA (with a specific anti-codon) for a particular amino acid; and 'wobble' base-pairing, i.e. permitting non-standard base-pairing at the 3rd anti-codon position. The record is from RNAcentral. RNAcentral also lists the same sequence under 1 other name. Lineage: Archaea; Thermoproteati; Thermoproteota; Thermoprotei; Thermofilales; Thermofilaceae.